UACAGAGGGUGCGAGCGUUAAUCGGAGUUACUGGGCGUAAAGGGCGCGUAGGCGGUUAUUUAAGUUAGAUGUGAAAUCCCUGGGCUUAACCUAGGAACUGCAUCUAAUACUGGAUAGCUGGAGUAUUGUAGAGGGUAGUGGAAUUUCCGGUGUAGCGGUGAAAUGCGUAGAGAUCGGAAGGAACACCAGUGGCGAAGGCGGCUACCUGGACAAAUACUGACGCUGAGGCGCGAGAGCGUGGGGAGCAAAC
Molecule: ribosomal RNA, 250 nt
Filed under: uncultured bacterium
Lineage: Bacteria
Description: partial 16S ribosomal RNA
Rfam family: Bacterial small subunit ribosomal RNA
Source: RNAcentral